GUUCCAGAGCUCCCGGGUCGGCCUCUGCGACCGGGUAAACGGCGCUGUGAGCUGGGCCCAGCGCCAGGGGCUGGAAACCGCCGGGAGUCGAGGGCUGGUGGGUUUUCAAACACAAACCUCACUACAGGCCAUGAACUUCCUGAGUAGUUCUGAGUAUUCUUCAGAUACCCCUGGCUUCAGUCACUUGUCAGCUUCAGAGAAUCAACUCACCAGUACCUUGGAGCACUGGCUGUGGUUGAGUGGUUGAACACCAGGCAAAAUGAGGCUUCCAACCAUUGUCACCGAUAUCCUGUUAAAAUCCUGUCUCUGCUGUUGGCUUAGGAAUGAGCAUAGAUGGAAAAUUCUACAUAACUCUGGACAUUACCAGGGCUUCUCUUCAGUGUGGAUUUGCUGAUGUACAAUGAGGUGU
Molecule: long non-coding RNA, 409 nt
Organism: Capra hircus (goat)
Lineage: Eukaryota; Metazoa; Chordata; Mammalia; Artiodactyla; Bovidae
Exons: 3
Source: RefSeq, a predicted model, not a curated record